This 503-nucleotide ribosomal RNA is filed under the name uncultured bacterium. Its description in RNAcentral is "bacterial SSU rRNA". It matches the Rfam family "Bacterial small subunit ribosomal RNA", at positions 28 to 524 of the family's 1533-position model. The record is from RNAcentral.
GACGAACGCUGGCGGCGUGGAUUAGGCAUGCAAGUCGAACGGUAUCAUCCUUUCGGGGGUGAGAGAGUGGCGAACUGGUGAGUAACACGUAGGUUAUCUACCCUCAAGACGGGGACAACCCAGGGAAACUUGGGCUAAUACCGGAUGUGAGCAACUUUUAGUUGUUUGAAAGGUGGCGUAAGCUGUCGCUUGGGGAUGAGCCUGCGUCCUAUUAGUUAGUUGGUGAGGUAACGGCUCACCUAGGCAAUGAUAGGUAGGCGGCCUUAACGGGUGGUCGCCCACACUGGGAUUGAGAUACGGCCCAGACUCCUACGGGAGGCAGCAGUCGAGAAUAGUCUACAAUGGUCGGAAGACUGAUAGUGCGACGCCGCGUGAACGAUGAAUCCCUUCGGGGUGUAAAGUUCUUUUAUAUGUGAGCAGUGCUUCUUAUAUUAACAGUAUGGGGAGAGAGAUAUUAGCAUAUGAAUAAGCAACGGCUAACUCCGUGCCAGCAGCCGGGUAAU